GGGGAUAUAGCUCCAUUGGUAGAGUGCUUGCCUCACAUGCACAAUCCCUGGGUUCAAUCCCCAGCACCACCA
Molecule: transfer RNA, 72 nt
Filed under: Ictidomys tridecemlineatus (thirteen-lined ground squirrel)
Lineage: Eukaryota; Metazoa; Chordata; Mammalia; Rodentia; Sciuridae
Description: Spermophilus tridecemlineatus (thirteen-lined ground squirrel) tRNA
Rfam family: tRNA
About the family: Transfer RNA (tRNA) molecules are approximately 80 nucleotides in length. Their secondary structure includes four short double-helical elements and three loops (D, anti-codon, and T loops).
Source: Rfam by way of RNAcentral